This is a non-coding RNA of Aegilops tauschii subsp. strangulata, 2728 nucleotides long. The record is from RefSeq and is a predicted model, not a curated record. NCBI's taxonomy places the organism in Eukaryota, Viridiplantae, Streptophyta, Magnoliopsida, Poales, Poaceae.
UUUUACUAGCCAUAAAUUCAUCUAUCUAUUACCACUAUAAAAGGAAGAGAGGGGCAGAUCCAAACAAUCACAUCCAUUCAUCAUCAACAUCUAAUGGCUCUUAAUCAUCCGGUGUGUAACGCUACCAACCAUGCAUUACCCCACUAGAACUGCCCGUCGUAAAAAAAAACCCGCUGCCCGCACACGAACGCACGGCCUCUCUCACCCCAUCCUUAGCCACAGGAGCCCCCGGGGGAUUGGAUGAUUUGCCCCACUAUACAAGGGUUGGAUGAUUUACCCUGUGAUUGUCUCAAUGACAGUGGCUCCGGGCCCCACCGGGUAGCCUCUCGGGGGUGCAAAUGAUCAAAUGGAGAAACCCCGGGAGCCGCCCCGCCGGGGGAGCCCCGCCGCAGGUCGCCGCCCUUCGCCGCGGGAGAGCCGGAGCCGCCGCCCGUCGCGCACCGAGGGAUCCCCGUCGCAGGUCGCCGCCCUUCGCUGCGGGAGUCGCCGGCAAGUCGCAGCCCGUCGCGCGCCGGGGGAGAGCCGCCCCAGGUCGCCGCCCUUCGCCACGGGAGAGCCGGAGCCGCGGAGCCACCGCCCGUCGCGCGCCUGCCUCUCCUCCUCUGCUGCCGCAGUCCAUGCCGCUGCCCCGACGUUCAGGUGAGGGGAGACGCCAUGCUGAAUUCACCACUGCGGCCGGCCGACCUGGUUUGCUGUAGCUGUUGCCUCAACCGGUGCGUCCCUGCCGUCCGGCGAUGGCGCGACCGCGGUGGACGCGGUUAUGCGUGGCUCACAGAGAUCCCAGGGCAAGACCAGUUUCCGCCCAUGAAAGGGAUACACCGAUUGAGACCACCGUCUAGAGGCCUGGACGUGGGAACGCUGCAGCUCCUUCCUCAAUGCUACUUUUCUAAAUCUGAUCUCUGCAACUCGUGAGGAUUCGAAUCACCAAAGGAACUAGGAGUACUACUUGUUUUAUUAUAAGUGUCUUGUAUUCUAAGAACUACUGAGCAAGAUAAUUCAGAUGGAUCUAAUUAAGAAUCUUGUAUCAACGGUGAUCAGGGCUGUUUUUACAUAUGUUUAUAGUAACUUGCGCCAAAGCUGUGUGUACUGGACGACCUGCGCCAAAGCUAUCCAUACAGGGCAGAUGGUCCUCAAAGCGUGGUGUCGAUUUCGUAAGUUGUUAAGUUGAUUUGGUAAGUCUAUACAGUGUGGAUGACCUACUCUAUCUAUUUAAUGGGUAAGUUGAUUUCGUUCUGUUGUCUCACCGGCUUAGUGUGUUGAGCAUGCGGUGCUUGUUAGAGCUUUGUCCAAACAUGUCAUACAAACUGCUUUUGCUCGGAGUUAUACAUGGAUGGAACUUUUAUAUGUUCACAAUACAUGAUAACAGGGGUUACCAUUUUGUGGCUCAGGAACUCACUUUGGAUAUAACAUCAUGGGGACAAAAAACAUAUUACUGGAAAAUCAGAAGCAUAUGGGAGCCGCAUUUGAGAAAUGCUCUCAACUUUCGGUUGCAAAUAUUGAAAAGGCGAUAUACAAUCCAGUGACUUUUUGAAUCACACUGUUGGUUACAUGGAAUCAAGUGAAGACCUCGGUGAUUUUGCAGUAUGGAUGAAGCUGUAUAUACACACAAAAUUUGAAUUUCUUGCCUCGAAAUAUAUUUUUGCAGCAUGUAUUAAACAUGGUGUGUCCAAACAUAGACGAUAAAUGAAAACAUGUCUUUUGCUUUGACGUUUCGGUGUGCAGUAACAGUUUCAAAUAGGAUAUACUUGUUUUAUUAUGAUCUCUACACAAUAUUAUUAGCUUGAAAAUUGAAUAUGGGCAUUUUUUAUUUUACACAUACAAUAAAAUUUUGUACAGUAUUUGAUACAUGCAUUUGCACGUACACGAUUACUAAAUCUUGGCAUUUUCUUCUAAGUACGAAAUCUGUUACAGAGUACUAAGUCUUGAUAUUUUGUUUGCCACCUAAGGAGAAAAAUGCCACUCCAGGUGAUUAUGAUACGCGAUUUUAGUGGUGUUUAUUGUUUCGUCGCAUGUAAAAGUGAUGUGGUGUCUUGCACAGACCUGCUGAAGUUUGUCUUCUAAUAGCUGAUACAUGCCUUCUAUAUUAGUAUAUUUUAUGCUUUAUUUAAGGUUUAAUUUUCAAUAUAUUACAGGUACACUUUUGAGUAUAUGAUAGUCCAUAUAGAGAGUUGCUUCCUUAAUCGAAGUAGGUGAAAAAAAUGUCCAGACCAGGAUUAUUUCAUUCUAGAAAAGGAAAAGAUAUGCAGGUUGGCGAUUCUCAAGUUGAUGGGUUUGUGCUACAAACUGAACUAAUUCCUCUGUGCCUUUGUAAUAUGGAGUUGGGCACUGAGCUUUCAUGCAAAUGAGGCACAAGAUAGAUCACAUGUGUGCACAGUAUUGGAGAUGCAGGCCCUUUAUUUUCAUUUACAAUUGGGACAUAUUCAACAUACCAAGACUCACAAAAUAUUGCCCGGGGCAAUACCAGUAAGCAACACACAAAUCUAGAUGAUAGGUCCUGAUAGGCAAACCAUAUGCUUCAUGACAAAACUAUGAACCAAUUGCACAAUAGUAAUAUUAGCAUGUUGUAUCUUUCUUCUUUUCCUCCAAUGAGCUUGUUCAUGCUUCUGGACAAUUGGACAUGGCAUAUAUCUUUGCCUUCUCCUGAUGUACAAGUCAUUUAAGAUCAUAGUCGUUUUGUACUCAGGUUACAUCAUAUGAGAUUUAACCAAAGGAGUGUUGUGUUUUUCAA